This 253-nucleotide ribosomal RNA is filed under the name uncultured bacterium. RNAcentral describes it as "partial 16S ribosomal RNA". It matches the Rfam family "Bacterial small subunit ribosomal RNA", at positions 524 to 776 of the family's 1533-position model. The record is from RNAcentral.
UACGUAGGGUGCAAGCGUUGUCCGGAAUUAUUGGGCGUAAAGGGCUCGUAGGCGGUUUGUCGCGUCGGGAGUGAAAACAUCUGGCUUAACUGGGUGCUUGCUUUCGAUACGGGCAGACUAGAGGUAUGCAGGGGAGAACGGAAUUCCUGGUGUAGCGGUGAAAUGCGCAGAUAUCAGGAGGAACACCGGUGGCGAAGGCGGUUCUCUGGGCAUGACCUGACGCUGAGGAGCGAAAGUGUGGGGAGCGAACAGG